AUUGAACGCUGGCGGCAUGCCUUACACAUGCAAGUCGAACGGCAGCACGGGAGCUUGCUCCUGGUGGCGAGUGGCGAACGGGUGAGUAAUACAUCGGAACGUACCCUGAAGUGGGGGAUAACGUAGCGAAAGUUACGCUAAUACCGCAUAUUCUGUGAGCAGGAAAGAGGGGGAUCGCAAGACCUCUUGCUUUAGGAGCGGCCGAUGUCGGAUUAGCUAGUUGGUGAGGUAAAGGCUCACCAAGGCGACGAUCCGUAGCGGGUCUGAGAGGAUGAUCCGCCACACUGGGACUGAGACACGGCCCAGACUCCUACGGGAGGCAGCAGUGGGGAAUUUUGGACAAUGGGCGGCAAGACCUCGA
Molecule: ribosomal RNA, 361 nt
Filed under: uncultured bacterium
Lineage: Bacteria
Description: bacterial SSU rRNA
Rfam family: Bacterial small subunit ribosomal RNA
Source: RNAcentral